This 463-nucleotide ribosomal RNA is filed under the name uncultured bacterium. RNAcentral's name for it is "partial 16S ribosomal RNA". It matches the Rfam family "Bacterial small subunit ribosomal RNA", at positions 30 to 507 of the family's 1533-position model. The record is from RNAcentral.
CGAACGCUCGCGGCGUGCUUAACACAUGCAAGUCGAACGGAAAGGCCCCUUCGGGGGUACUCGAGUGGCGAACGGGUGAGUAACACGUGAGUAACCUGCCCUUGACUUCGGGAUAACUUCAGGAAACUGGGGCUAAUACCGGAUAGGAAUCCUUGCUGCAUGGUGGGGGUUGGAAAGCUUCGGCGGUUUUGGAUGGACUCGCGGCUUAUCAGCUUGUUGGUGGGGUAGUGGCUUACCAAGGCUUUGACGGGUAGCCGGCCUGAGAGGGCGACCGGCCACAUUGGGACUGAGAUACGGCCCAGACUCCUACGGGAGGCAGCAGUGGGGAAUAUUGCACAAUGGGCGGAAGCCUGAUGCAGCAACGCCGCGUGCGGGAUGACGGCCUUCGGGUUGUAAACCGCUUUCAGCAGGGGCGAAGCUUGUGGUGACGGUACCUGCAGAAGAAGCACCGGCUAACUACGUG